Molecule: ribosomal RNA, 2793 nt
Filed under: Alkaliphilus transvaalensis
Lineage: Bacteria; Bacillati; Bacillota; Clostridia; Peptostreptococcales; Natronincolaceae
Description: partial 23S ribosomal RNA
Rfam family: Bacterial large subunit ribosomal RNA
Source: RNAcentral
GCAAAAAAAGCGUAGAUGUCCGAAUGGGGAAACCCACUUAAGGUAAUGCUUAAGUAUCGAUAUGUGAAUAAAAUAGCAUAUACGAAGGUAAAGCAGGGGAACUGAAACAUCUAAGUACCCUGAGGAAAAGAAAGAAAAAUCGAUUCCCCGAGUAGCGGCGAGCGAAACGGGAAGAGCCCAAACCUAGCGGACGAAAGGAAGCUGGGGGUUGAGGAUACAGCAACAAAGUAGAUAGAAAUUGGUAGUAGAAUAGACCUGGGAAGGUCAACCGAAGAAGGUAAAAGUCCAGUAUACGAAACCAAAAGAAAUCGAAAGCUGUAAUCCAGAGUACCACGGGACACGUGAAACCCUGUGGGAAGCAGGGGGGACCACCCCCCAAGGCUAAAUACUAACUGGUGAGCGAUAGUGAACAAGUACCGUGAGGGAAAGGUGAAAAGAACCCCGGAAGGGGAGUGAAAAAGAACCUGAAACCCUUUGCUUACAAUCUGUGGGAGCCUGAAGUAAGUUUACUUACACGGGUGACCGCGUACUUUUUGUAGAACGGGCCAACGAGUUACGGUGUGCAGCAAGGUUAAAUGAUUAAGUCAUGGAGCCGAAGCGAAAGCGAGUCUUAAUAGGGCGAAAGUUGUGCGCCGUAGACCCGAAACCGAGCGACCUACCCAUGGUCAGGAUGAAGCGGAAGUAAAAUUUCGUGGAGGUCCGAACCGAUUGACGUUGAAAAGUCACCGGAUGAACUGUGGGUAGAGGUGAAAUUCCAAUCGAGCUCGGAGAUAGCUGGUUCUCGCCGAAAUAGCUUUAGGGCUAGCCUCGAUAUAGAGAUGCGGAGGUAGAGCACUGAAUGGUCAAGGGGGCUUCACCGCUUACCGAAACCUAUCAAACUCCGAAUGCCGUACACUUUAAAUAUCGGGAGUCAGACCACGAGUGAUAAGAUCCGUGGUCAAGAGGGAAAGAGCCCAGACCAACAGCUAAGGUCCCAAAGUAUAUGUUAAGUGGGAAAGGAUGUGGAGUUGCAAAAACAACCAGGAUGUUGGCUUAGAAGCAGCCAUACAUUUAAAGAGUGCGUAAUAGCUCACUGGUCGAGUGACUCUGCGCCGAAGAUACCCGGGGCUAAAACAUAACACCGAAGCUUUGGAAUAAAGUAUUUGGGAAACCAAGUACUAUAUUGGUAGGCGAGCAUUCUGUAGGGGAAGAAGCUAGACCGGAAGGACUAGUGGACACUACAGAAGAGAGAAUGUUGGCAUGAGUAACGAGAGGCAGGUGAGAAUCCUGCCCGUCGAAAGCCCAAGGUUUCCUGAGGAAGGCUCGUCCUCUCAGGGUAAGUCGGGGCCUAAGCCGAGGCCGAAAGGCGUAGGCGAUGGACAACAGGUUGAUAUUCCUGUACCACCAUUAAUUCAUUUGAGAGAAGUGGGGACACAGAAGGAUAGAUCAAGCGCGCGGUUGGAAGAGCGCGUCUAAGCGAAUAGGGAGUUAGAGUAGGCAAAUCCGCACUAACAAAAUCCUGAGGCGUGAUGGGGAGCGAAAUAUAAGUAGCGAAGUGAUUGAAUCCACGCUGUCAAGAAAAGCCACUAUCGAGAAUUAAAGGUGCCCGUACCGCAAACCGACACAGGUAGGCGAGGAGAGAAUCCUAAGACGAACGGGAGAACUAUUGUUAAGGAACUCGGCAAAAUGACCCCGUAACUUCGGGAGAAGGGGUGCCACCAUAUGUGAAGUACAAGCUACGUAAGCGUAAGGUGGCCGCAGAGAAAAGGCCCAAGCGACUGUUUAGCAAAAACAUAGGUCUCUGCAAAGUCGAAAGACGAAGUAUAGGGGCUGACGCCUGCCCGGUGCUGGAAGGUUAAGGGGAAAUGUAAGAGUAAUCGAAGCAUAGAACUUAAGCCCCAGUAAACGGCGGCCGUAACUAUAACGGUCCUAAGGUAGCGAAAUUCCUUGUCGGGUAAGUUCCGACCCGCACGAAAGGCGUAACGAUUUGGGCACUGUCUCAACAAUAGACCCGGUGAAAUUGUAAUACCAGUGAAGAUGCUGGUUACCCGCGACAGGACGGAAAGACCCCGUGGAGCUUUACUGCAGCUUGAGAUUGGAUUUUAAUACUACACGUACAGAAUAGGUGGGAGACUGAGAACUUAGCACGCCAGUGUUAGGGGAGUCGACGUUGGGAUACCACUCUUGUAGUAUUGAAGUUCUAACCAAUAUCCAUGAAACUGGAUAUGGGACACUCUCAGGCGGGCAGUUUGACUGGGGCGGUCGCCUCCUAAAGAGUAACGGAGGCGCCCAAAGGUUCCCUCAGCACGGUCGGAAAUCGUGCGAAGAGUGCAAAGGCAAAAGGGAGCUUGAUUGCGAGACAUACAGGUCGAGCAAGGACGAAAGUCGGGCUUAGUGAUCCGGUGGUUCCGAGUGGAAGGGCCAUCGCUCAACGGAUAAAAGCUACCCCGGGGAUAACAGGCUUAUCUCCCCCAAGAGUCCACAUCGACGGGGAGGUUUGGCACCUCGAUGUCGGCUCAUCACAUCCUGGGGCUGGAAUAGGUCCCAAGGGUUGGGCUGUUCGCCCAUUAAAGUGGUACGCGAGCUGGGUUCAGAACGUCGUGAGACAGUUCGGUCCCUAUCCGUCGCGGGCGCAGGAAAUUUGAGAGGAGCUGUCCUUAGUACGAGAGGACCGGGAUGGACAUACCACUGGUGUAGCAGUUGUUCUGCCAAGAGCAUAGCUGCGUAGCUAAGUAUGGAAGGGAUAAGUGCUGAAGGCAUCUAAGCACGAAGCCCCCCUCAAGAUAAGAUUUCCCACCCGAAAGGGUUAAGACC